Molecule: ribosomal RNA, 490 nt
Filed under: uncultured bacterium
Lineage: Bacteria
Description: partial 16S ribosomal RNA
Rfam family: Bacterial small subunit ribosomal RNA
Source: RNAcentral
AUUGAACGCUGGCGGCAGGCCUAACACAUGCAAGUCGAACGGUAACAGGAAGAAGCUUGCUUCUUUGCUGACGAGUGGCGGACGGGUGAGUAAUGUCUGGGAAACUGCCUGAUGGAGGGGGAUAACUACUGGAAACGGUAGCUAAUACCGCAUAACGUCGCAAGACCAAAAAGGGGGACCUUCGGGCCUCUUGCCAUCGGAUGUGCCCAGAUGGGAUUAGCUAGUAGGUGGGGUAACGGCUCACCUAGGCGACGAUCCCUAGCUGGUCUGAGAGGAUGACCAGCCACACUGGAACUGAGACACGGUCCAGACUCCUACGGGAGGCAGCAGUGGGGAAUAUUGCACAAUGGGCGCAAGCCUGAUGCAGCCAUGCCGCGUGUAUGAAGAAGGCCUUCGGGUUGUAAAGUACUUUCAGCGGGAAGGAAGGGAGUAAAGUUAAUACCUUUGCUCAUUGACGUUACCCGCAGAAGAAGCACCGGCUAACUCCGUG